Molecule: ribosomal RNA, 915 nt
Filed under: uncultured bacterium
Lineage: Bacteria
Description: bacterial SSU rRNA
Rfam family: Bacterial small subunit ribosomal RNA
Source: RNAcentral
GAGUUUGAUCCUGGCUCAGGACGAACGCUGGCGGCGUGCUUAACACAUGCAAGUCGAACGAUGAACUGGGUGCUUGCACCUGGGGAUUAGUGGCGAACGGGUGAGUAACACGUGAGUAACCUGCCCUGGACUCUGGGAUAACCCCGAGAAAUCGGAGCUAAUACCGGAUAGGACCUUGCACCGCAUGGUGUGGGGUGGAAAGUUUUUCGGUCUGGGAUGGACUCGCGGCCUAUCAGCUUGUUGGUGAGGUAAUGGCUCACCAAGGCGUCGACGGGUAGCCGGCCUGAGAGGGUGACCGGCCACACUGGGACUGAGACACGGCCCAGACUCCUACGGGAGGCAGCAGUGGGGAAUAUUGCACAAUGGGCGCAAGCCUGAUGCAGCAACGCCGCGUGCGGGAUGACGGCCUUCGGGUUGUAAACCGCUUUUAGUAAGGAAGAAGGGGAGCUUGCUCCUUGACGGUACUUGCAGAAAAAGGACCGGCUAACUACGUGCCAGCAGCCGCGGUAAUACGUAGGGUCCGAGCGUUGUCCGGAAUUAUUGGGCGUAAAGAGCUCGUAGGCGGUUUGUCGCGUCUGCUGUGAAAUCCCGAGGCUCAACCUCGGGUCUGCAGUGGGUACGGGCAGACUGGAGUGCGGUAGGGGAGAAUGGAAUUCCUGGUGUAGCGGUGGAAUGCGCAGAUAUCAGGAGGAACACCGAUGGCGAAGGCAGUUCUCUGGGCCGUAACUGACGCUGAGGAGCGAAAGCGUGGGGAGCGAACAGGAUUAGAUACCCUGGUAGUCCACGCCGUAAACGUUGGGCGCUAGAUGUGGGGACCUUUCCACGGUUUCCGUGUCGUAGCUAACGCAUUAAGCGCCCCGCCUGGGGAGUACGGCCGCAAGGCUAAAACUCAAAGGAAUUGACGGAAGGUCGAAU